This 369-nucleotide long non-coding RNA is filed under the name Salmo salar (Atlantic salmon). RNAcentral describes it as "lncRNA (ENSSSAG00000097515.1, ENSSSAG00000106436.1)". The record is from RNAcentral. Lineage: Eukaryota; Metazoa; Chordata; Actinopteri; Salmoniformes; Salmonidae.
GUAUUGUUGGAGUCAGUGGGAUGUUGAUAUCAGGUAGUGUAGGAGACAGUGGGAUGUUGAUGUUGAUAUCAGGUAGUGUAGGAGUCAGUGGGAUACCAUGUUGAUAUCAGGUAGUGUAGGAGUCAGUGGGAUGUUGAUAUCAGGUAGUGUAGGAGUCAGUGGGAUGUUGAUAUCAGGUGAUAUAGGAGUCAGUGGGAUGUUGAUAUCAGGUAGUGUAGGAGUCAGUGGGAUGUUGAUAUCAGGUAGUGUAGAGGCAGUGAGAUGUUGAUAUCAGGUAUUGUUGGAGUCAGUGGGAUGUUGAUAUCAGGUAGUGUAGGAGACAGUGGGAUGUUGAUGUUGAUAUCAGGUAGUGUAGGAGUCAGUGGGAUA